GACGAACGCUGGCGGCGUGCCUAACACAUGCAAGUCGAGCGAAUGAAGUUCCUUCGGGAAUGGAUUUAGCGGCGGACGGGUGAGUAACACGUGGGCAACCUGCCUCAUAGAGGGGAAUAGCCUCCCGAAAGGGAGAUUAAUACCGCAUAAGAUUGUAGUACCGCAUGAUACAGCAAUUAAAGGAGCAAUCCGCUAUGAGAUGGGCCCGCGGCGCAUUAGCUAGUUGGUGAGGCAAUGGCUCACCAAGGCGACGAUGCGUAGCCGACCUGAGAGGGUGACCGGCCACAUUGGGACUGAGACACGGCCCAGACUCCUACGGGAGGCAGCAGUGGGGAAUAUUGCACAAUGGGGGAAACCCUGAUGCAGCAACGCCGCGUGAGUGAUGACGGCCUUCGGGUUGUAAAGCUCUGUCUUCAGGGACGAUAAUGACGGUACCUGAGGAGGAAGCCACGGCUAACUACGUG
This 464-nucleotide ribosomal RNA is filed under the name uncultured bacterium. Its description in RNAcentral is "partial 16S ribosomal RNA". It matches the Rfam family "Bacterial small subunit ribosomal RNA", at positions 28 to 507 of the family's 1533-position model. The record is from RNAcentral.